GCUCGCUCACUCCCAGCCAGAUCCACAAGGCUGAUCUUGCUGACCUUCUCUGUGGAAAGAUCAGUUUCUGCAUCAUGUUUCUUCUGAGUAAAGACAAUUGUAAACACAGCAUGAGAACGGCUGCUAGUUUCAUUCAUGUUGGUAGCUGCCACAGUCCUGGCUUUGUUUCCAGCAUCCAUGAGGUCUGCAAUGUCUGUGUAAGAUGUGACUGCUAACUUGGACAGAUCUUCCACGUAAGGGCCAAGCAGAGGAUGUUCUCGCACCCGCAAAUUCCCUUUGUUCUUCGGGUUCAACAAGUCUCUGACUCUCUCACAAUAAAUCUCCAUGUAACUCACCUCUACAGAGUACGACAUCUCUUCGUUGCUGUUGUCAUUGAUUUUCUCAAACAAUUCUUCACAUAGCUGGGGGAUUAUCCCUGCUUGGCUCUCCUCCUGUUUGCCCAUCAUUGUGUAGGAUUUCCCAGCUCCAGUUUGUCCGUAGGCAAAAAUGCAUACGUUGUAGCCCUCAAAGGCAUGCAGCAACAUCUCCUUCCCAAUAUCAUUGUACACACGGCUCUGAGACGCAAAGCAGGGAUCUUCAGGCGACGUGUGGGACCAAUAAGAGUAGUCAAAGCUGAAGGACUUUGGCGCUUCCUUGGGAUUCUUUGGGUUGAUAAUACUGGUUGAAUUGCCUUGCAUCUGGAUGAUACAUUUGGAUUCUUUGCUGGUUUCUCGAGAGUUGAAGGGCCGGACCCGAACAGCCACCUUCACAGAAGCCCCCGACAUUCUGGCUGCUUGUCGUACAGUCGAGAUAUUACGUGAAAGAGGUCAGAAUCCUUCAAGUUUACCUUCUUGCUGGCGUUUUCUGGGGAUGGCCGCGGGGCUCCGAGGGCCGCGGGCGGUGCGGGGCCGCCGGCGCUGUCAGCGGCUGGGGCCGGCGAAGGAGCGCAGCGCGGGGCGGGGGAAAGGAAAGCAAGCGGCCUCCCCCAUCACACUUCGCCGCCUCCGCUG
Molecule: long non-coding RNA, 989 nt
Filed under: Gallus gallus (chicken)
Lineage: Eukaryota; Metazoa; Chordata; Aves; Galliformes; Phasianidae
Source: RNAcentral